CACCAGGUUGAUUCUGCCUGACGUAGAUGCUAGUCUCUAAGAUUAAGCCAUGCAUGUUUAUGUAACAAGGACGAACAGCUCAGUAGAACUACGAUGAUUUAGUCUGUCUGAGCAGGAUAACUACGUGAAAAUGUAGCUAAGAGGGGACGGAAUAAGACGUAGGACUAUCAGUUAGUUGGUAGUGUAAUGGACUACCAAGACGAUGACGGGUAACGGGGAAUCAGGGUUUGAUACCGGAGAGGGAGCCUGAGAGACAGCUCCCACGUCCAUGGACGGCAGCAGGCGCGAAAAUUGCCCACUCUUUGCAGGAGGCAGUUAUGAGACGUGAAAGUGAAUAUUCAGCAAAGAUGAAUAGGAGAAUUGGAGGGCAAGUUUGGUGCCAGCAGCCGCGG
This 392-nucleotide ribosomal RNA is filed under the name uncultured Microsporidia. Its description in RNAcentral is "SSU rRNA". It matches the Rfam family "Microsporidia small subunit ribosomal RNA", at positions 1 to 405 of the family's 1311-position model. The record is from RNAcentral. Lineage: Eukaryota; Fungi; Microsporidia.